UACGGAGGGUGCGAACGUUAAUCGGAAUCACUGGGCGUAAAGCGCGCGUAGGCGGUUCGUUAAGUGGGAUGUGAAAUCCCCGGGCUUAACCUGGGAAUUGCAUUUCAAACUGGCCGACUAGAGUACGGUAGAGGGAGGUAGAAUUUCCUGUGUAGCGGUGAAAUGCGUAGAUAUAGGAAGGAAUACCAGUGGCGAAGGCGGCCUCCUGGAUCGAUACUGACGCUGAGGCGCGAAAGCUAGGGGAGCAAACGGG
RNAcentral lists this ribosomal RNA (253 nucleotides) under uncultured bacterium. RNAcentral describes it as "partial 16S ribosomal RNA". It matches the Rfam family "Bacterial small subunit ribosomal RNA", at positions 524 to 776 of the family's 1533-position model. The record is from RNAcentral.